This 2036-nucleotide unclassified non-coding RNA is filed under the name Bactrocera tryoni. RNAcentral's name for it is "molybdenum cofactor biosynthesis protein 1, transcript variant X1". Lineage: Eukaryota; Metazoa; Arthropoda; Insecta; Diptera; Tephritidae. The record is from RNAcentral.
AAGUUAGUCUUAAGAGUAAGAGGACACAGCGGUGCAGCCCCAAAAAAUAUUCUUUUGAUUUGCAUAUUUUUACUUCACGUGAAAAUUAGCUCGUGAGCGGUCACUUGUAUGUGCUUGCUUAUAAAUAAAAGCUUUUAUUUACUACACUCACACCUGCAGCGACGGCACGACACCUUGUUAGUGAGUUAUCACACAUACAUACAAAUAAAUAAAGUAUUGGCUUUUUGUUUAUUAACCAAUUGACAGCGAUUUUGCGCGCUUUUGACGAACAUUUUGUACGCUCAGUGUUUAUUUGGUGCUCCACUCCGCCGGUUGCUGACAACGAGCACGAAAACGAAAGCGGCCAAACCGAAAUAAAACGUGGCGCAGCGAAGAUAACUGGAAAGUCGAAAAACACUUGAAUGCCUGCGAUUUGAUGGCCAUCAUUAUCAAAUUGAUUGCUGCUAUUGUUGUUUCUAAUAAAGUGCCUUCUCGGACGCUAUACUAUCGAGCUUGAGGUUAUGUGUUUACAAUUAAUUACAUUUUAUUUAUUGUGAAAUCGUUGAUAUGCCAAAAAAGUGUCGCAAUUGAGGAACUGUGAAAAAUUAACAAAUUUUCUUACUUAAAAAAGCAAACAUAAACAAGUGAGCAGUGCCAGUGCUUUUGCCAUGAAUUCAGUGUGGAGAGUGGGCAUUUUCGCUAAGAAUGCAGCAGUAGCCAUAACAAAACCAUGCCAUGUUGGGUCGAGCACUCGUUUCAGGUACGCAAGUAUCGCAACAGGUGUCGCGGAUCCCAAAACACAACUGUCGGACGACAAGCCAGCGUCAGCAUCAAACACAGUCGCCGCGGCGGAACCAGCUCCGAGCUUUGACCAACAGCGCAUAUUAAAUAAGGCACAGGUUAAGCCGAUAAGCAGUCAACCGUUGACAGACACUUUUGGACGUCACCACACAUAUCUGAGGAUCUCAUUGACCGAGCGUUGCAAUUUGCGCUGUCAAUACUGUAUGCCAGCCGAAGGUGUACAACUGCAACCAAAGUCAAAUCUGCUAACCACCGAAGAAAUUCUCUACUUAGCGCGAAUUUUCGUUGAGCAAGGGGUGCGUAAAAUUCGUCUAACCGGCGGUGAGCCAACGGUACGACGCGACAUAGUCGAUAUCAUAGCCCAAAUAAAGUCCAUACCCAAACUGGAGAGUGUCGGUAUUACUACAAAUGGCCUAGUAUUAACACGUCUCUUGCUGCCGAUGCAGCGUGCCGGCCUGGAUGCGGUGAAUAUUAGUUUGGAUACGUUGCGCCCGAAACGUUUCGAGGAAAUCACACGACGCAAGGGCUGGGAGCGCGUUAUAGCCGGCAUUGAUUUGGCCAUACAGCUGGGCUAUAAGCCGAAAUUGAACUGUGUGCUUAUGCGCAAUUUCAACGAAGACGAAAUUUGCGAUUUUGUCGAAUUCACCAAAGAUCGUGCAGUGGAUGUGCGUUUCAUAGAGUAUAUGCCAUUCACGGGCAACAAAUGGCAAACCGGUCGGUUGAUUUCUUUCAAGGAAUCAUUGGACAUUAUAAAGAACAGAUGGCCUGACUUCGCGGCGCUGCCCAAUGGCCCAAAUGACACAUCAAAAGCGUAUGGCGUACCUGGCUAUAAAGGACAAGUAGGCUUCAUAACAUCUAUGACGGAGCAUUUUUGCGGUUCCUGUAAUCGUUUACGGCUCACCGCAGACGGAAAUAUUAAAGUGUGUCUAUUUGGCAAUAAAGAAUUUUCGCUACGUGACGCUAUACGCAAUAAUUGCUCCGAAGACGAUCUGAUUACGUUGAUUGGAACGGCAGUGAGUCGAAAGAAGAAGAAGCACGCUGGCAUGUUGAAUUUGUCACGAAUGGAAAAUCGUCCAAUGAUACUAAUCGGUGGAUAGUUUUAUGUACGCUUAAGAACAUACAAACAUAAAUACCUGCCAGCGCUGCUUAAAAAUACGAUAAAGAUAAUUUCAUUCAUGAUAAUGUCACAGCAGAAAUGCAUCACAUCUCUCGCAAAACUUUUGACAUUCGGAAGCAACAAAGGAUUCAUUCUCAAC